Molecule: ribosomal RNA, 2787 nt
Filed under: Escherichia coli
Lineage: Bacteria; Pseudomonadati; Pseudomonadota; Gammaproteobacteria; Enterobacterales; Enterobacteriaceae
Description: bacterial LSU rRNA
Rfam family: Bacterial large subunit ribosomal RNA
Source: RNAcentral
AGCGUACACGGUGGAUGCCCUGGCAGUCAGAGGCGAUGAAGGACGUGCUAAUCUGCGAUAAGCGUCGGUAAGGUGAUAUGAACCGUUAUAACCGGCGAUUUCCGAAUGGGGAAACCCAGUGUGAUUCGUCACACUAUCAUUAACUGAAUCCAUAGGUUAAUGAGGCGAACCGGGGGAACUGAAACAUCUAAGUACCCCGAGGAAAAGAAAUCAACCGAGAUUCCCCCAGUAGCGGCGAGCGAACGGGGAGCAGCCCAGAGCCUGAAUCAGUGUGUGUGUUAGUGGAAGCGUCUGGAAAGGCGUGCGAUACAGGGUGACAGCCCCGUACACAAAAAUGCACAUACUGUGAGCUCGAUGAGUAGGGCGGGACACGUGGUAUCCUGUCUGAAUAUGGGGGGACCAUCCUCCAAGGCUAAAUACUCCUGACUGACCGAUAGUGAACCAGUACCGUGAGGGAAAGGCGAAAAGAACCCCGGCGAGGGGAGUGAAAAAGAACCUGAAACCGUGUACGUACAAGCAGUGGGAGCACGCUUAGGCGUGUGACUGCGUACCUUUUGUAUAAUGGGUCAGCGACUUAUAUUCUGUAGCAAGGUUAACCGAAUAGGGGAGCCGAAGGGAAACCGAGUCUUAACUGGGCGUUAAGUUGCAGGGUAUAGACCCGAAACCCGGUGAUCUAGCCAUGGGCAGGUUGAAGGUUGGGUAACACUAACUGGAGGACCGAACCGACUAAUGUUGAAAAAUUAGCGGAUGACUUGUGGCUGGGGGUGAAAGGCCAAUCAAACCGGGAGAUAGCUGGUUCUCCCCGAAAGCUAUUUAGGUAGCGCCUCGUGAAUUCAUCUCCGGGGGUAGAGCACUGUUUCGGCAAGGGGGUCAUCCCGACUUACCAACCCGAUGCAAACUGCGAAUACCGGAGAAUGUUAUCACGGGAGACACACGGCGGGUGCUAACGUCCGUCGUGAAGAGGGAAACAACCCAGACCGCCAGCUAAGGUCCCAAAGUCAUGGUUAAGUGGGAAACGAUGUGGGAAGGCCCAGACAGCCAGGAUGUUGGCUUAGAAGCAGCCAUCAUUUAAAGAAAGCGUAAUAGCUCACUGGUCGAGUCGGCCUGCGCGGAAGAUGUAACGGGGCUAAACCAUGCACCGAAGCUGCGGCAGCGACGCUUAUGCGUUGUUGGGUAGGGGAGCGUUCUGUAAGCCUGCGAAGGUGUGCUGUGAGGCAUGCUGGAGGUAUCAGAAGUGCGAAUGCUGACAUAAGUAACGAUAAAGCGGGUGAAAAGCCCGCUCGCCGGAAGACCAAGGGUUCCUGUCCAACGUUAAUCGGGGCAGGGUGAGUCGACCCCUAAGGCGAGGCCGAAAGGCGUAGUCGAUGGGAAACAGGUUAAUAUUCCUGUACUUGGUGUUACUGCGAAGGGGGGACGGAGAAGGCUAUGUUGGCCGGGCGACGGUUGUCCCGGUUUAAGCGUGUAGGCUGGUUUUCCAGGCAAAUCCGGAAAACUAAGGCUGAGGCGUGAUGACGAGGCACUACGGUGCUGAAGCAACAAAUGCCCUGCUUCCAGGAAAAGCCUCUAAGCAUCAGGUAACAUCAAAUCGUACCCCAAACCGACACAGGUGGUCAGGUAGAGAAUACCAAGGCGCUUGAGAGAACUCGGGUGAAGGAACUAGGCAAAAUGGUGCCGUAACUUCGGGAGAAGGCACGCUGAUAUGUAGGUGAAGUCCCUCGCGGAUGGAGCUGAAAUCAGUCGAAGAUACCAGCUGGCUGCAACUGUUUAUUAAAAACACAGCACUGUGCAAACACGAAAGUGGACGUAUACGGUGUGACGCCUGCCCGGUGCCGGAAGGUUAAUUGAUGGGGUUAGCGCAAGCGAAGCUCUUGAUCGAAGCCCCGGUAAACGGCGGCCGUAACUAUAACGGUCCUAAGGUAGCGAAAUUCCUUGUCGGGUAAGUUCCGACCUGCACGAAUGGCGUAAUGAUGGCCAGGCUGUCUCCACCCGAGACUCAGUGAAAUUGAACUCGCUGUGAAGAUGCAGUGUACCCGCGGCAAGACGGAAAGACCCCGUGAACCUUUACUAUAGCUUGACACUGAACAUUGAGCCUUGAUGUGUAGGAUAGGUGGGAGGCUUUGAAGUGUGGACGCCAGUCUGCAUGGAGCCGACCUUGAAAUACCACCCUUUAAUGUUUGAUGUUCUAACGUUGACCCGUAAUCCGGGUUGCGGACAGUGUCUGGUGGGUAGUUUGACUGGGGCGGUCUCCUCCUAAAGAGUAACGGAGGAGCACGAAGGUUGGCUAAUCCUGGUCGGACAUCAGGAGGUUAGUGCAAUGGCAUAAGCCAGCUUGACUGCGAGCGUGACGGCGCGAGCAGGUGCGAAAGCAGGUCAUAGUGAUCCGGUGGUUCUGAAUGGAAGGGCCAUCGCUCAACGGAUAAAAGGUACUCCGGGGAUAACAGGCUGAUACCGCCCAAGAGUUCAUAUCGACGGCGGUGUUUGGCACCUCGAUGUCGGCUCAUCACAUCCUGGGGCUGAAGUAGGUCCCAAGGGUAUGGCUGUUCGCCAUUUAAAGUGGUACGCGAGCUGGGUUUAGAACGUCGUGAGACAGUUCGGUCCCUAUCUGCCGUGGGCGCUGGAGAACUGAGGGGGGCUGCUCCUAGUACGAGAGGACCGGAGUGGACGCAUCACUGGUGUUCGGGUUGUCAUGCCAAUGGCACUGCCCGGUAGCUAAAUGCGGAAGAGAUAAGUGCUGAAAGCAUCUAAGCACGAAACUUGCCCCGAGAUGAGUUCUCCCUGACUCCUUGA